RNAcentral lists this ribosomal RNA (484 nucleotides) under uncultured bacterium. RNAcentral describes it as "partial 16S ribosomal RNA". It matches the Rfam family "Bacterial small subunit ribosomal RNA", at positions 899 to 1397 of the family's 1533-position model. The record is from RNAcentral.
ACUCAAAUGAAUUGACGGGGACCCGCACAAGCGGUGGAGCGUGUUGUUUAAUUCGAUGAUAAGCGAAGAACCUUACCAAGGCUUGACAUCCUGUGAAGGUUUUCGAAAGAAAACUGUGCCUUCGGGAAUACAGUGACAGGUGUUGCAUGGCCGUCGUCAGCUCGUGUCGUGAGAUGUUUGGUUAAGUCCAUCAACGAGCGCAACCCUUUUAACUAGUUGAACUUCUCUAGUUAGACUGCCCUGGUAACAGGGAGGAAGGAGGGGAUGAUGUCAGGUCAGUAUUACCCUUACGUCUUGGGCUACAAACACGCUACAAUGGCCGGUACAAAGGGCAGCCAAGUCGCGAGACGGAGCAAAUCCCAUCAAAGCCGGUCCCAGUUCGGAUUGCAGGCUGAAACUCGCCUGCAUGAAGCCGGAAUCGCUAGUAACGGUGAGUCAGCACAUUACCGUGAAUACGUUCCCGGGUCUUGUACACACCGCCCGU